AGCGAACGCUGGCGGCAGGCUUAACACAUGCAAGUCGAGCGGGCACUUUCGGGUGUCAGCGGCGGACGGGUGAGUAACGCGUGGUAACGUUCCCUCUGGUUCGGAAUAACUCAGGGAAACUUGAGCUAAUACCGGAUACGCCCUUUUGGGGAAAGGCUUGCUGCCGGAGGAUCGGCCCGCGUCUGAUUAGCUAGUUGGUGAGGUAACGGCUCACCAAGGCGACGAUCAGUAGCUGGUCUGAGAGGAUGAUCAGCCACACUGGGACUGAGACACGGCCCAGACUCCUACGGGAGGCAGCAGUGGGGAAUAUUGGACAAUGGGCGCAAGCCUGAUCCUGCCAUGCCGCGUGAGUGAUGAAGGCCUUAGGGUUGUAAAGCUCUUUUAUCCGGGACGAUAAUGACGGUACCGGAGGAAUAAGCCCCGGCUAACUUCGUG
Molecule: ribosomal RNA, 435 nt
Filed under: uncultured bacterium
Lineage: Bacteria
Description: partial 16S ribosomal RNA
Rfam family: Bacterial small subunit ribosomal RNA
Source: RNAcentral